This 1113-nucleotide ribosomal RNA is filed under the name uncultured organism. Its description in RNAcentral is "bacterial SSU rRNA". It matches the Rfam family "Bacterial small subunit ribosomal RNA", at positions 361 to 1466 of the family's 1533-position model. The record is from RNAcentral.
AUAGUUCCCAAUGGACGAAAGUCUGAGGACGCGACGCCGCGUGAGCGAAGAAGGCCUUCGGGUUGUAAAGCUCUGUCAGGAGGGAAGAAGGCGCUGGGUGUUAAUAGCACCAAGCGUUGACGGUACUUCCAGAGGAAGCCCCGGCUAAAUACGGGCCAGCAACCGCGGUAAUACGUAUGGGGCAAGCGUGUCCCGGAUAAGCUGGGCGUAAAGGGCACGCAGGCGGUUCGUUUAGUCGAAGGUGAAUCCCUGGGCUCAACUCAGGAACUGCCUUCGAUACUGGCGAACUAGAGUGGCGUAGAGGAAAGCGGAACUCCUGGUGUAACGGUGGAAUGUGUAGAUAUCAGGAGGAACACCGGUGGCGAAGNCGGCUUUCUGGACGCACACUGACGCUCAGGUGCGAAAGCGUGGGUAGCAAACAGGAUUAGAUACCCUGGUAGUCCACGCCGUAAACGAUGGGUACUAGGUGUCGGGGGUAUCGAUCCCCUCGGUGCCGAAGUCAACGCAUUAAGUACCCCGCCUGGGGAGUAUGGUCGCAAGGCUGAAACUCAAAGGAAUUGACGGGUCCCCGCACAAGCGGUGGAGCAUGUGGUUUAAUUCGACGCAACGCGAAGAACCUUACCUGGGCUUGACAUGCUUGGGACAGCGCUGGAAACAGCGUCUCUCCUUCGGGAGUCCUUGCACAGGUGCUGCAUGGCUGUCGUCAGCUCGUGUCGUGAGAUGUCGGGUUAAGUCCCUCAACGAGCGCAACCCUCGUUACUAGUUGCCAUCAGUUCGGCUGGGCACUCUAGUGAGACUGCCGGUGACAAACCGGAGGAAGGUGAGGAUGAUGUCAAGUCAUCAUGGCCCUUACGCCCAGGGCUACACACGUGCUACAAUGGUCGGCACAAAGGGCAGCCAAACCGCGAGGUGGAGCUAAUCCCAUAAAGCCGGCCCCAGUACGGAUUGGAGUCUGCAACUCGACUCCAUGAAGGCGGAAUCGCUAGUAAUCGCGGAUCAGCAUGCCGCGGUGAUAUGUUCCCGGGGAUUGUACACACCGCCCGUCAUAUCACCCGAGCCGGGGAUACCCGAAGUCCGUGACCCAACCAUUUGGAGGGAGCGGCCGAAGGUGUG